CAGAGGGUGGUCUAAUUUAUGAUCUCAGCUUUGGGAGUUGAGGAUGGAAGUUAAAGUCUUUUCUCUCUGAUUUUUU
This 76-nucleotide transfer RNA is filed under the name Anguilla marmorata (giant mottled eel). Its description in RNAcentral is "tRNA-Pro". It matches the Rfam family "tRNA". From Rfam's summary of the family: Transfer RNA (tRNA) molecules are approximately 80 nucleotides in length. Their secondary structure includes four short double-helical elements and three loops (D, anti-codon, and T loops). The record is from RNAcentral. Lineage: Eukaryota; Metazoa; Chordata; Actinopteri; Anguilliformes; Anguillidae.